RNAcentral lists this ribosomal RNA (1143 nucleotides) under Staphylococcus aureus. RNAcentral's name for it is "bacterial SSU rRNA". It matches the Rfam family "Bacterial small subunit ribosomal RNA", at positions 1 to 1123 of the family's 1533-position model. Lineage: Bacteria; Bacillati; Bacillota; Bacilli; Caryophanales; Staphylococcaceae. The record is from RNAcentral.
UUUAUGGAGAGUUUGAUCCUGGCUCAGGAUGAACGCUGGCGGCGUGCCUAAUACAUGCAAGUCGAGCGAACGGACGAGAAGCUUGCUUCUCUGAUGUUAGCGGCGGACGGGUGAGUAACACGUGGAUAACCUACCUAUAAGACUGGGAUAACUUCGGGAAACCGGAGCUAAUACCGGAUAAUAUUUUGAACCGCAUGGUUCAAAAGUGAAAGACGGUCUUGCUGUCACUUAUAGAUGGAUCCGCGCUGCAUUAGCUAGUUGGUAAGGUAACGGCUUACCAAGGCAACGAUGCAUAGCCGACCUGAGAGGGUGAUCGGCCACACUGGAACUGAGACACGGUCCAGACUCCUACGGGAGGCAGCAGUAGGGAAUCUUCCGCAAUGGGCGAAAGCCUGACGGAGCAACGCCGCGUGAGUGAUGAAGGUCUUCGGAUCGUAAAACUCUGUUAUUAGGGAAGAACAUAUGUGUAAGUAACUGUGCACAUCUUGACGGUACCUAAUCAGAAAGCCACGGCUAACUACGUGCCAGCAGCCGCGGUAAUACGUAGGUGGCAAGCGUUAUCCGGAAUUAUUGGGCGUAAAGCGCGCGUAGGCGGUUUUUUAAGUCUGAUGUGAAAGCCCACGGCUCAACCGUGGAGGGUCAUUGGAAACUGGAAAACUUGAGUGCAGAAGAGGAAAGUGGAAUUCCAUGUGUAGCGGUGAAAUGCGCAGAGAUAUGGAGGAACACCAGUGGCGAAGGCGACUUUCUGGUCUGUAACUGACGCUGAUGUGCGAAAGCGUGGGGAUCAAACAGGAUUAGAUACCCUGGUAGUCCACGCCGUAAACGAUGAGUGCUAAGUGUUAGGGGGUUUCCGCCCCUUAGUGCUGCAGCUAACGCAUUAAGCACUCCGCCUGGGGAGUACGACCGCAAGGUUGAAACUCAAAGGAAUUGACGGGGACCCGCACAAGCGGUGGAGCAUGUGGUUUAAUUCGAAGCAACGCGAAGAACCUUACCAAAUCUUGACAUCCUUUGACAACUCUAGAGAUAGAGCCUUCCCCUUCGGGGGACAAAGUGACAGGUGGUGCAUGGUUGUCGUCAGCUCGUGUCGUGAGAUGUUGGGUUAAGUCCCGCAACGAGCGCAACCCUUAAGCUUAGUUGCCAUCA